UACGUAGGGGGCUAGCGUUGUCCGGAAUCAUUGGGCGUAAAGAGCGUGUAGGCGGCCCGGUAAGUCCGCUGUGAAAGUCGGGGGCUCAACCCUCGAAUGCCGGUGGAUACUGUCGGGCUAGAGUGCGGAAGAGGCGAGUGGAAUUCCUGGUGUAGCGGUGGAAUGCGCAGAUAUCAGGAGGAACACCGGUGGCGAAGGCGGGAUCCUGGGCCAGUACUGACGCUGAGGAGCGAAAGCGUGGGGAGCAAACAGG
RNAcentral lists this ribosomal RNA (253 nucleotides) under uncultured bacterium. RNAcentral's name for it is "partial 16S ribosomal RNA". It matches the Rfam family "Bacterial small subunit ribosomal RNA", at positions 524 to 776 of the family's 1533-position model. The record is from RNAcentral.